ACGGCUCAGUAACACGUGGAUAACUGCCGUAAGGUGGAGGAUAACCCCGGGAAACUGGGGAUAAUACUCCAUAGGUUAAAGGUACUGGAAUGUUCUUUAACCGAAAGUUCCGGCGCAUAGGAUGGAUCUGCGGCCGAUUAGGUUGUUGUUGGGGUAGUGGCCCAACAAGCCUGUAAUCGGUACGGGUUGUGGGAGCAAGAGCCCGGAGAUGGAAUCUGAGACACGAUUCCAGGCCCUACGGGGCGCAGCAGGCGCGAAAACUUUACAAUGCAGGAAACUGUGAUAAGGGAACCCCGAGUGCCCGUAUAUGCGGGCUGUCCGGAUGUUUAAAACGCAUCCGAAGAAAGGGCCGGGCAAGACCGGUGCCAGCCGCCGCGGUAAUACCGGCGGCUCGAGUGGUGGCCACUUUUAUUGGGCUUAAAGCGUUCGUAGCUUGAAUAAUAAGUCUCUUGGGAAAUCUGCAGGCUUAACCUGCAGGCGUUUAAGAGAAACUGUUGUUAUAGGAACCGGAAGAGGUGAGAGGUACUCCGGGGGUAGGAGUGAAAUCCUGUAAUCCCCGGGGGACCACCGAUGGCGAAGGCAUCUCACCAGGACGGCUUCGACAGUGAGGAACGAAAGCUGGGGGAGCGAACCGGAUUAGAUACCCGGGUAGUCCCAGCCGUAAACGAUGUGCGUUAGGUGUGCCGGUGACCACGAGUCACUGGGGUGCCGAAGGGAAACCGUGAAACGUACCGCCUGGGAAGUACGGUCGCAAGGCUGAAACUUAAAGGAAUUGGCGGGGGAGCACAAGGG
RNAcentral lists this ribosomal RNA (792 nucleotides) under uncultured archaeon. Its description in RNAcentral is "bacterial SSU rRNA". It matches the Rfam family "Archaeal small subunit ribosomal RNA", at positions 85 to 887 of the family's 1478-position model. The record is from RNAcentral.